UACAGAGGGUGCGAGCGUUAAUCGGAAUGACUGGGCGUAAAGGGCGAGUAGGCGGAUGGAUAAGUGAGGUGAUAAAGACACGGGCUUAACCUGUGGGCGACGCCUUAGACUGUUUAUCUAGAGACGAGGAGAGGGGAGUGGAAUUUCCGGAGGAGUGGUGAAAUACGUAGAUUUCGGAAGGAACACCGGUGGCGAAGGCGACUUUCUGGCCUCGUUCUGACGCUGAGGAGCGAAAGCGUGGGUAGCAAACAGG
RNAcentral lists this ribosomal RNA (253 nucleotides) under uncultured bacterium. Its description in RNAcentral is "partial 16S ribosomal RNA". It matches the Rfam family "Bacterial small subunit ribosomal RNA", at positions 524 to 776 of the family's 1533-position model. The record is from RNAcentral.